Molecule: ribosomal RNA, 228 nt
Filed under: uncultured Acinetobacter sp.
Lineage: Bacteria; Pseudomonadati; Pseudomonadota; Gammaproteobacteria; Moraxellales; Moraxellaceae
Description: partial 16S ribosomal RNA
Rfam family: Bacterial small subunit ribosomal RNA
Source: RNAcentral
ACGGGGGGUUUAAGCGAGGAGGAGGCUACUUUAGUUAAUACCUAGAGAUAGUGGACGUUACUCGCAGAAUAAGCACCGGCUAACUCUGUGCCAGCAGCCGCGGUAAUACAGAGGGUGCAAGCGUUAAUCGGAUUUACUGGGCGUAAAGCGCGCGUAGGCGGCUGAAUAAGUCAAAUGUGNNAUUCCCCGAGGGAAAACUUGGGAAUUGCAUUCGAUACCUGUAGNAGU